This 102-nucleotide non-coding RNA is filed under the name Paenibacillus sp. CECT 9249. RNAcentral describes it as "pemK". It matches the Rfam family "pemK RNA". Lineage: Bacteria; Bacillati; Bacillota; Bacilli; Caryophanales; Paenibacillaceae. The record is from RNAcentral.
AUAAUGAUACUUCCGUCCAGCCACAGCUCUGCUUUUAGGCAGAUCACGCAAUGGGGGCGGCUUGCAGCGAUCCUGGGAGAGGUAUUCGGACUAUACCUAUGA